UACGUAGGGUGCAAGCGUUGUCCGGAAUUAUUGGGCGUAAAGAGCUCGUAGGCGGUUUGUCGCGUCUGCUGUGAAAACUCGGGGCUUAACUCCGGGCUUGCAGUGGGUACGGGCAGACUAGAGUGCGGUAGGGGAGACUGGAAUUCCUGGUGUAGCGGUGAAAUGCGCAGAUAUCAGGAGGAACACCGGUGGCGAAGGCGGGUCUCUGGGCCGAUACUGACGCUGAGGAGCGAAAGCGUGGGGAGCGAACAGG
Molecule: ribosomal RNA, 253 nt
Filed under: uncultured bacterium
Lineage: Bacteria
Description: partial 16S ribosomal RNA
Rfam family: Bacterial small subunit ribosomal RNA
Source: RNAcentral